UACGGAGGAUGCGAGCGUUAUCCGGAUUUAUUGGGUUUAAAGGGUGCGUAGGCGGAUGAUUAAGUCUGUGGUGAAAGCGUGCGGCUCAACCGUACCGAGCCAUGGAAACUGGUUAUCUUGAGUAUAGACGAGGUAGGCGGAAUGUGAUGUGUAGCGGUGAAAUGCUUAGAUAUGUCACAGAACUCCGAUUGCGAAGGCAGCUUACCAGGCUAUAACUGACGCUGAGGCACGAAAGCGUGGGUAUCAAACA
This 250-nucleotide ribosomal RNA is filed under the name uncultured prokaryote. RNAcentral describes it as "partial 16S ribosomal RNA". It matches the Rfam family "Bacterial small subunit ribosomal RNA", at positions 524 to 774 of the family's 1533-position model. The record is from RNAcentral.